CUAUAGUCACCUGAACAACUACAGCUUAAUGAGGUUGUUCAGGUGAGAUCUAUAGCUCCCUGCCGCCUUCCUCAUGUAAACUCUAUAUUUUCUGAGAAAAUACGGUGUUUACAUUGAAAGCUAAGAACACCUCCAGUUGCAGUCACUCAGAGUGAACCAGAGGGACUUCGGAGUUGAUGGAGGCAUAAUAUGCCUCCAUCCACUCAGAUCUUAUGUCAGCAGAGCACAGGGCAGCACUGUGCACAGCAUCCUGUGAUUCAGUAUAUCCUCCCUCUGCAUGCAGACACAGAACUUUCCUCAUAGAGAUUAAUUGAUUCAAUGGAGUCCUCUGUGAAGCACAUAGCCUUUCACAAGGCAAAUCGAGUUAGGUUGUUGAUAAACUCCUCCCCAUUGCCUUUCAGAGCAAUCCCUCGUCCCCCCAAUCUGUUUCUGUUAGAUCCUCAGGGAUUGACUGAGGGCGGUGUGUCCAGCAGAAGGAAGGGCUAACUUGUUAAAAGCCCUGUGAAUAGAGAUGUCGCGAACCGUC
Molecule: non-coding RNA, 526 nt
Organism: Pelobates cultripes (western spadefoot toad)
Lineage: Eukaryota; Metazoa; Chordata; Amphibia; Anura; Pelobatidae
Source: the annotation of a GenBank genome assembly